GGUGUACCAGUUGUCGCGUCAGCGGCAUCGCUGGGUAGCUAUGUCGGGAAGGGAUAAACGCUGAAGGCAUCUAAGCGUGAAGCCCACCUCAAGAUAAGAUUUCCCUGCCUAGUGCAAUAAGAUCCCUCGAAGAACACGAGGUUGAUAGGCUGGAGGUGUAAGUGUGGUAACACAUGUAGCUGACCAGUACUAAUAGAUCGAAGACUUAAUCUU
RNAcentral lists this ribosomal RNA (213 nucleotides) under Oceanirhabdus seepicola. RNAcentral's name for it is "Bacterial large subunit ribosomal RNA". It matches the Rfam family "Bacterial large subunit ribosomal RNA", at positions 2711 to 2925 of the family's 2925-position model. Lineage: Bacteria; Bacillati; Bacillota; Clostridia; Eubacteriales; Clostridiaceae. The record is from Rfam by way of RNAcentral.